UGGGGAAUAUUGCACAAUGGGGGAAACCCUGAUGCAGCGACGCCGCGUGAGCGGAGAAGUAUUUCGGUAUGUAAAGCUCUAUCAGCAGGGAAGAAGAAAUGACGGUACCUGACUAAGAAGCACCGGCUAAAUACGUGCCAGCAGCCGCGGUAAUACGUAUGGUGCAAGCGUUAUCCGGAUUUACUGGGUGUAAAGGGAGCGCAGGCGGAAGGCUAAGUCUGAUGUGAAAGCCCGGGGCUCAACCCCGGUACUGCAUUGGAAACUGGUCAUCUAGAGUGUCGGAGGGGUAAGUGGAAUUCCUAGUGUAGCGGUGAAAUGCGUAGAUAUUAGGAGGAACACCAGUGGCGAAGGCGGCUUACUGGACGAUAACUGACGCUGAGGCUCGAAAGCGUGGGGAGCAAACAGG
RNAcentral lists this ribosomal RNA (406 nucleotides) under uncultured bacterium. RNAcentral's name for it is "bacterial SSU rRNA". It matches the Rfam family "Bacterial small subunit ribosomal RNA", at positions 355 to 776 of the family's 1533-position model. The record is from RNAcentral.